ACGAACGCUGGCGGCGUGCUUAACACAUGCAAGUCGAACGGAAAGGCCCUGCUUUUGUGGGGUGCUCGAGUGGCGAACGGGUGAGUAACACGUGAGUAACCUGCCCCUGACUUUGGGAUAACUUCAGGAAACUGGGGCUAAUACCGGAUAGGAGCUCCUGCUGCAUGGAGGGGGUUGGAAAGUUUCGGCGGUUGGGGAUGGACUCGCGGCUUAUCAGCUUGUUGGUGGGGUUGUGGCUUACCAAGGCUUUGACGGGUAGCCGGCCUGAGAGGGUGACCGGCCACAUUGGGACUGAGAUACGGCCCAUACUCCUCCGGGAGGCAGCAGUGGGGAAUAUUGCACAAUGGGCGGAAGCCUGAUGCAGCAACGCCGCGUGCGGGAUGACGGCCUUCGGGUUGUAAACCGCUUUCGCCUGUGACGAAGCGUGAGUGACGGUAAUGGGUAAAGAAGCACCGGCUAACUACGUG
Molecule: ribosomal RNA, 467 nt
Filed under: uncultured bacterium
Lineage: Bacteria
Description: partial 16S ribosomal RNA
Rfam family: Bacterial small subunit ribosomal RNA
Source: RNAcentral